UAUCUCUGUAGAGUCUGCAUAUCAAUAAGCGGAGGAAAAGAAACUAACAAGGAUUCCCUUAGUAACGGCGAGUGAAGCGGGAAGAGCUCAAAUUUGAAAUCUUCAAGGUUCUACCUUGACGAAUUGUAGUUUAUAGAAGUGUUUUCUGUUAGUGGAGUGGCAAAAGUUCUUUGGAAUAGGACAUCAUAGAGGGUGAGAAUCCCGUAUUUGGUCAUUCCUCCUAGCGUUGUGAUACACUUUCAACGAGUCGGAUUGUUUGGGAAUGCAGUCCAAAAUGGGUGGUAAUAUUUCAUCUAAAGCUAAAUAUUGGCGAGAGACCGAUAGCGAACAAGUACCGUGAGGGAAAGAUGAAAAGAACUUUGAAAAGAGAGUUAAACAGUACGUGAAAUUGUCAAAAGGGAAGCGUUUGACACCAGUGUUGUUUUUCCGAAAAUCAAUUACGAAUGUUUUGUUUUUAAGAAGUUAUGACUUCAUCGGCUUGCUUCUUUCUUUACGAAACUUUCUUAAUGCACUUUUCGGUUAACAAGUCAACAUCAAUUUCUUUUGUUGUAAAAAGGUAAGAGGAAGGUGGCUUGCGCUUCGGCUCAAGUGUUUAUAGCCUUUUACUUCUGCAAUCGGAGAGAUUGAGGUCUGCAGCGUAGAUCCUUCGGGGUUAGAUACAUUUGUGCUAAGCUAUAGCCUUGUAUAGACAACUUGUUGACUAUGCUCAGUCAUGUAGCUUACUCGCUUAUGCUAUUUUACCUACGCUUAGGAUGUUGAGUAGCGACAUACGCAC
This 775-nucleotide ribosomal RNA is filed under the name uncultured Neocallimastigales. RNAcentral describes it as "partial large subunit ribosomal RNA". It matches the Rfam family "Eukaryotic large subunit ribosomal RNA", at positions 24 to 649 of the family's 3401-position model. Lineage: Eukaryota; Fungi; Neocallimastigomycota; Neocallimastigomycetes; Neocallimastigales. The record is from RNAcentral.